GCGGCGCCCCCGGGCUCUCCGGAGCGGGCCCCGGGUUUUCAGCCGCCACGUCUCGGCUCCUGCGCGCUCCUGCGCGGGGCAGCGGCUGCUGCUGCCCCCGCGCUGCCGGCUUGGACACCGGGCUGCCUGGAGAUGCUGCGGCACAGCGUACGAGCUCCGUUCCUCGGACGCGGGCGCUGCGGGCCGGGUCGCCGACCUAAAGCGCAGGAGUAGCCCUCGGAACAAGAAGAGUGUGGAGAAAAGAUAUGGAAACACCUGAUAUCCCAACAAAGGAAGCCGCAAAGGCAGGCUCGUGAUGGAUAAAUGAGGCAGGCCAUUCAACAGUUGACAAUCAUUGUUUUGUUCUAACACCCAUGUGCACCCGGCAAAUGAAUUACGGAUUACCGGCUUUCUGCCCAGGUGAUAAGUGUGGGUACAGACACAUUUUGAGAGCUACAGAUGCCGCGACAGGAAGACCUUGCCCAAGUGACCUUAAAUAAACUUGAACCGCAAAUGGGAGGCACAGAAUGAAAACUCACUAGCGUGGCUCUUGAGGAAAGGACGGACUUAGACACGAGAUUCUAAAGCUUGGCUACAGCUUGUCUCGGAUUUGUUGUUUCUCAGGAACAACAGUGAUAUGAAGGAAUGAAGAGUGAUAAAGUGGGUAAACACUGACUCACGCACAAAAAAGGGCAUGCCUUGGUCGGUUAAGAUGGACCUUGCUAACUCGAUUCUGCAGAGAAGGGACUAUAAAUAACACACGGUCGCAGCUACAGGCCUUUCCUGUCCAUUAAUUAAACCAACACCGCAGAGGCCUCAAGGCUAAGGCACCGAGCUCUUCUUAGCAGUGGAGAGCUGCAUAAUCCUGGAGUGAUUACGGUUCAAAAGGUCAGGAGAGAGGGCACCCAGAGUGUGCUCCAACCCUCUCUGCAGCAGAGGAGAGAGAAGGGCGAAAAGGGGGUCAGCAUGUGAGCUAAAAAAAAAAAAAAGAAAGUUGUGGACACAGAAGUGAAAUCUGAUCACGCGCCAGGAAAAGCUCGUGAAGCGAGAAACCCCCGAGGAACGACCAACCUUGACCGGCCCUGGUCGGGGCGGUUCCAUACGGCUGCCCGCGCGGGAAGGGGGCGCCGGGGGCGGCCACCGCCGGCAUGG
This 1131-nucleotide long non-coding RNA is filed under the name Dasypus novemcinctus (nine-banded armadillo). RNAcentral describes it as "lncRNA (ENSDNOG00000052846.1)". The record is from RNAcentral. Lineage: Eukaryota; Metazoa; Chordata; Mammalia; Cingulata; Dasypodidae.